UACGGAGGGUGCAAGCGUUGUCCGGAUUUAUUGGGUUUAAAGGGUGCGUAGGUGGGUUUUCAAGUCUGGUUUGAAAGUUAGCUGCUCAACAGUUAGACGUGGCGGGAAACUGGGAUUCUGGAAUGGGGUGGCGGCGGCUGGAACGGGUGAUGUAGCGGUGAAAUGCAUAGAUAUGACGCAGAACACCGAUUGCGAAGGCAGGCAGCUACGCCGUGAUUGACACUGAGGCACGAGAGCAUGGGUAGCGAACAGG
RNAcentral lists this ribosomal RNA (253 nucleotides) under uncultured bacterium. Its description in RNAcentral is "partial 16S ribosomal RNA". It matches the Rfam family "Bacterial small subunit ribosomal RNA", at positions 524 to 776 of the family's 1533-position model. The record is from RNAcentral.